This 443-nucleotide ribosomal RNA is filed under the name uncultured bacterium. RNAcentral's name for it is "bacterial SSU rRNA". It matches the Rfam family "Bacterial small subunit ribosomal RNA", at positions 50 to 482 of the family's 1533-position model. The record is from RNAcentral.
AACACAUGCAAGUCGAACGGAAACGAUGGAAGCUUGCUUCCAGGCGUCGAGCGGCGGACGGGUGAGUAAUACUUAGGAAUCUACCCAGUAGCGGGGGACAACUCGAGGAAACUCGAGCUAAUACCGCAUACGCCCUACGGGGGAAAGCGGAGGACCUUUCGGGGCUUCGCGCUAAUGGAUGAGCCUAAGUCGGAUUAGCUUGUUGGUGAGGUAAAGGCUCACCAAGGCGACGAUCCGUAGCUGGUCUGAGAGGACGAUCAGCCACACUGGGACUGAGACACGGCCCAGACUCCUACGGGAGGCAGCAGUGGGGAAUAUUGGACAAUGGGGGCAACCCUGAUCCAGCAAUGCCGCGUGUGUGAAGAAGGCCUGCGGGUUGUAAAGCACUUUCAGUAGAGAAGAAAAGCCUACGGUUAAUACCCGUGAGUCUUGACGUUACCUAC